This 358-nucleotide ribosomal RNA is filed under the name uncultured Serratia sp. Its description in RNAcentral is "bacterial SSU rRNA". It matches the Rfam family "Bacterial small subunit ribosomal RNA", at positions 38 to 392 of the family's 1533-position model. Lineage: Bacteria; Pseudomonadati; Pseudomonadota; Gammaproteobacteria; Enterobacterales; Yersiniaceae. The record is from RNAcentral.
GGCGGCAGGCCUAACACAUGCAAGUCGAGCGGUAGCACAAGAGAGCUUGCUCUCUGGGUGACGAGCGGCGGACGGGUGAGUAAUGUCUGGGAAACUGCCUGAUGGCGGGGGAUAACUAGUGGAAACGGUAGCUAAUACCGCAUAACGUCGCAAGACCAAAGUGGGGGACCUUCGGGCCUCACGCCAUCAGAUGUGCCCAGGUGGGAUUAGCUGGUAGGUGGGGUAACGGCUCACCUAGGCGACGAUCCCUAGCUGGUCUGAGAGGAUGACCAGCCACACUGGAACUGAGACACGGUCCAGACUCCUACGGGAGGCAGCAGUGGGGAAUAUUGCACAAUGGGCGCAAGCCUGAUGCAGC